AUUGAACGCUGGCGGCAGGCCUAACACAUGCAAGUCGAACGGUAACAGGAAGAAGCUUGCUUCUUUGCUGACGAGUGGCGGACGGGUGAGUAAUGUCUGGGAAACUGCCUGAUGGAGGGGGAUAACUACUGGAAACGGUAGCUAAUACCGCAUAACGUCGCAAGACCAAAGAGGGGGACCUUCGGGCCUCUUGCCAUCGGAUGUGCCCAGAUGGGAUUCGGUAGUAGGUGGGGUAACGGCUCACCUAGGCGACGAUCCCUAGCUGGUCUGAGAGGAUGACCAGCCACACUGGAACUGAGACACGGUCCAGACUCCUACGGGAGGCAGCAGUGGGGAAUAUUGCACAAUGGGCGCAAGCCUGAUGCAGCCAUGCCGCGUGUAUGAAGAAGGCCUUCGGGUUGUAAAGUACUGUCAGCGGGGAGGAAGAGAGUAAAGUUAGUACCUUUGCUCAUUGACGUUACCCGCAGAAGAAGCACCGGCUAACUCCGUG
This 490-nucleotide ribosomal RNA is filed under the name uncultured bacterium. RNAcentral describes it as "partial 16S ribosomal RNA". It matches the Rfam family "Bacterial small subunit ribosomal RNA", at positions 30 to 507 of the family's 1533-position model. The record is from RNAcentral.